UCGAGAAUAGUCUACAAUGGCCGGAAGGCUGAUAGUGCGACGCCGCGUGAACGAGGGAGCCCUUCGGGGUGUAAAGUUCUUUCGGCAGGGACGAUAAUGACGGUACCUGCAGAAGCAGCUGCGGCUAACUACGUGCCAGCAGCCGCGGUAAUACGUAGGCAGCGAGCGUUGUUCGGAGUUACUGGGCGUAAAGGGUGUGUAGGCGGUUGCUUAAGUUUUGUGUGAAAUCUCCCGGCUCAACUGGGAGGGUGCGCCGAAUACUGAGCGGCUAGAGUGCGGGAGAGGAGAGUGGAAUUCCUGGUGUAGCGGUGAAAUGCGUAGAUAUCAGGAGGAACACCGGUGGUGUAGACGGCUCUCUGGACCGUAGCUGACGCUGAGACACGAAAGCGUGGGUAGCAAACAGG
RNAcentral lists this ribosomal RNA (404 nucleotides) under uncultured prokaryote. Its description in RNAcentral is "bacterial SSU rRNA". It matches the Rfam family "Bacterial small subunit ribosomal RNA", at positions 355 to 776 of the family's 1533-position model. The record is from RNAcentral.